Molecule: ribosomal RNA, 630 nt
Filed under: Pediococcus ethanolidurans
Lineage: Bacteria; Bacillati; Bacillota; Bacilli; Lactobacillales; Lactobacillaceae
Description: bacterial SSU rRNA
Rfam family: Bacterial small subunit ribosomal RNA
Source: RNAcentral
GAUUUUGAGAUGCUUGCAUCGAAGAUGAUUUUAACUAUAAAGUGAGUGGCGAACGGGUGAGUAACACGUGGGUAACCUGCCCAGAAGUGGGGGAUAACACCUGGAAACAGAUGCUAAUACCGCAUAACAAAAUUAACCGCAUGGUUGAUUUUUAAAAGAUGGCUUCGGCUAUCACUUCUGGAUGGACCCGCGGCGUAUUAGCUAGUUGGUGAGAUAAAGGCUCACCAAGGCAGUGAUACGUAGCCGACCUGAGAGGGUAAUCGGCCACAUUGGGACUGAGACACGGCCCAGACUCCUACGGGAGGCAGCAGUAGGGAAUCUUCCACAAUGGACGCAAGUCUGAUGGAGCAACGCCGCGUGAGUGAUGAAGGCUUUCGGGUCGUAAAACUCUGUUGUUGGAGAAGAACGUGUGUGAGAGUAACUGCUCAUGCAGUGACGGUAUCCAACCAGAAAGCCACGGCUAACUACGUGCCAGCAGCCGCGGUAAUACGUAGGUGGCAAGCGUUAUCCGGAUUUAUUGGGCGUAAAGCGAGCGCAGGCGGUCUUUUAAGUCUAAUGUGAAAGCCUUCGGCUUAACCGAAGAAGUGCAUUGGAAACUGGGAGACUUGAGUGCAGAAGAGGAGAGUGGAA